RNAcentral lists this RNase P RNA (279 nucleotides) under Candidatus Altimarinota bacterium. Its description in RNAcentral is "partial RNase P RNA component class A". It matches the Rfam family "Bacterial RNase P class A", at positions 1 to 294 of the family's 367-position model. Rfam says of the family: Ribonuclease P (RNase P) is a ubiquitous endoribonuclease, found in archaea, bacteria and eukarya as well as chloroplasts and mitochondria. Its best characterised activity is the generation of mature 5'-ends of tRNAs by cleaving the 5'-leader elements of precursor-tRNAs. The record is from RNAcentral. Lineage: Bacteria; Candidatus Altimarinota.
AAACCCAAGGAGAUAUGUGCUGUAGAGCAAUCUACAGAGGAAAGUCCGGACACUAUAGAGGAGCAAUCCUCAUAAAACCGAACAGCUAACGGCUGCCUCCUGAGCAAUCAGGACGGGAAAGUACCACAGAGACUAUACCGCCUACUUCGGUAGGUAAGGGUGAAAAGAGUGAGGUAAGAGCUCACAAUUGUGCAUGGUAACAUACACAAGUGGAAAACCCUCGGCGGUGCAAGUGAGUUGGCCCUCGCAAGAGGAGGCUCAUGCUUGAGGCGAUAAGCG